UACGUAGGGUGCAAGCGUUGUCCGGAAUUAUUGGGCGUAAAGAGCUCGUAGGCGGUUUGUCGCGUCUGCUGUGAAAACUCGGGGCUUAACUCCGGGCCUGCAGUGGGUACGGGCAGACUAGAGUGCGGUAGGGGAGACUGGAAUUCCUGGUGUAGCGGUGAAAUGCGCAGAUAUCAGGAGGAACACCGGUGGCGAAGGCGGGUCUCUGGACCGUAACUGACGCUGAGGAGCGAAAGCGUGGGGAGCGAACAGG
Molecule: ribosomal RNA, 253 nt
Filed under: uncultured bacterium
Lineage: Bacteria
Description: partial 16S ribosomal RNA
Rfam family: Bacterial small subunit ribosomal RNA
Source: RNAcentral